RNAcentral lists this ribosomal RNA (423 nucleotides) under uncultured bacterium. RNAcentral's name for it is "bacterial SSU rRNA". It matches the Rfam family "Bacterial small subunit ribosomal RNA", at positions 355 to 774 of the family's 1533-position model. The record is from RNAcentral.
UGAGGAAUAUUGGUCAGUGGGCGCGAGCCUGAACCAGCCAAGUAGCGUGAAGGAUGAAGGUCCUAUGGAUUGUAAACUUCUUUUAUAGCAGAAUAAAGUGACCCACGUGUGGGUUUUUGUAUGUAUGCUAUGAAUAAGGAUCGGCUAACUCCGUGCCAGCAGCCGCGGUAAUACGGAGGAUCCGAGCGUUAUCCGGAUUUAUUGGGUUUAAAGGGUGCGUAGGCGGAAAGAUAAGUCAGCCUGUGAAAGUUUGCGGCUCAACCGUAAAAUUGCAGUUGAUACUGUUUUUCUUGAGUGUACAUAAGGUAGGCGGAAUUCGUGGUGUAGCGGUGAAAUGCUUAGAGAUCACGAAGAACUCCGAUUUCGAAGGCAGCUUACCGGGGUACAACUGACGCUGAUGCACGAAAGUGUGGGUAUCAAACA